GGUCUAUUAGUGUAGUUGGUUAUCACAGCGGAUUCUGAUUCCGUUAACCUCAGUUCGAAUCUGGGAUGGACCG
Molecule: transfer RNA, 73 nt
Filed under: Olpidium bornovanus
Lineage: Eukaryota; Fungi; Olpidiomycota; Olpidiomycetes; Olpidiales; Olpidiaceae
Rfam family: tRNA
About the family: Transfer RNA (tRNA) molecules are approximately 80 nucleotides in length. Their secondary structure includes four short double-helical elements and three loops (D, anti-codon, and T loops).
Source: Rfam by way of RNAcentral